CCUACGUGUGGCUGCAGUGAGGAAUAUUGGUCAAUGGACGAGCGUCUGAACCAGCCAAGUAGCGUGAAUGAUGACUGCCCUAUGGGUUGUAAACUUCUUUUAUAUGGGAAUAAAAUGUUCCAAGUGUGGGAUUUUGUAUGUACCAUAUCAAUAAGGAUCGGCUAACUCCGUGCCAGCAGCCGCGGUAAUACGGAGGAUGCGAUCGUUAUCCGGUUUUAUUGGGUUUAAGGGGUGCGUAGGCGGAGCGUAAAGUCAGUGGUCAAAUGGAGGGGCUCAACCCCUUCCCGCCAUUGAAACUGGCGCUCUUGAGGGGAAGAGAGGUAAGCGGAAUGCGUGGUGUAGCGGUGAAAUGCAUAGAUAUCACGCGGAACCCCGAUUGCGAAGGCAGCAUGCCGGCUUCCGACUGACGCGGAAGCACGAAAGCGUGGGGAUCGAACAGGAUUAGAUACCCCUGUAGUC
Molecule: ribosomal RNA, 459 nt
Filed under: uncultured bacterium
Lineage: Bacteria
Description: partial 16S ribosomal RNA
Rfam family: Bacterial small subunit ribosomal RNA
Source: RNAcentral